GGAGAAUAUUGCACAAUGGGGGAAACCCUGAUGCAGCAACGCCGCGUGAGUGAUGACGGUCUUUGGAUUGUAAAGCUCUGUCUUUAGGGACGAUAAUGACGGUACCUAAGGAGGAAGCCACGGCUAACUACGUGCCAGCAGCCGCGGUAAUACGUAGGUGGCAAGCGUUGUCCGGAUUUACUGGGCGUAAAGGGAGCGUAGGCGGAUUUUUAAGUGGGAUGUGAAAUACCCGGGCUCAACCUGGGUGCUGCAUUCCAAACUGGAAGUCUAGAGUACAGGAGGGGAAAGCGGAAUUCCUAGUGUAGCGGUGAAAUGCGUAGAGAUUAGGAAGAACACCAGUGGCGAAGGCGGCUUUCUGGACUGUAACUGACGCUGAGGCUCGAAAGCGUGGGGAGCAAAC
This 400-nucleotide ribosomal RNA is filed under the name uncultured bacterium. RNAcentral describes it as "bacterial SSU rRNA". It matches the Rfam family "Bacterial small subunit ribosomal RNA", at positions 356 to 773 of the family's 1533-position model. The record is from RNAcentral.